RNAcentral lists this ribosomal RNA (422 nucleotides) under uncultured bacterium. Its description in RNAcentral is "SSU rRNA". It matches the Rfam family "Bacterial small subunit ribosomal RNA", at positions 495 to 915 of the family's 1533-position model. The record is from RNAcentral.
GGCUAACUCCGUUCCAGCAGCCGAGGUAAUACGGGGGGUGCUAGCGUUGUCCGGAAUCACUGGGCGUAAAGGGCGCGUAGGUGGUUUGAUAAGGGUGUGGUGAAAGUCCGGGGCUCAACCCCGGAUCUGCCGUGCCGACUGUCAAACUCGAGGGCUGUAGAGGCAGACGGAAUUCCGGGUGUAGCGGUGGAAUGCGUAGAGAUCCGGAGGAAGACCGGUGGCGAAGGCGGUCUGCUGGGCAGUUUCUGACACUGAUGCGCGACAGCGUGGGGAGCAAACAGGAUUAGAUACCCUGGUAGUCCACGCCGUAAACGAUGGGUACUAGGUGCCUGGGGGAGCGACCCUCUGGGUGCCGGCGCUAACGCAGGAAGUACCCCGCCUGGGGAGUACGACCGCAAGGUUGAAACUCAAAGGAAUUGACG